RNAcentral lists this ribosomal RNA (569 nucleotides) under Naganishia albida. RNAcentral's name for it is "eukaryotic LSU rRNA". It matches the Rfam family "Eukaryotic large subunit ribosomal RNA", at positions 74 to 648 of the family's 3401-position model. The record is from RNAcentral. Lineage: Eukaryota; Fungi; Basidiomycota; Tremellomycetes; Filobasidiales; Filobasidiaceae.
AUUCCCCUAGUAACGGCGAGUGAAGCGGGAAGAGCUCAAAUUUGAAAUCUGGUAGCCUUCGGUUGCCCGAGUUGUAAUCUAGAGAAGUGUUUUCCGUGCCGGCCCAUGUACAAGUCCCUUGGAACAGGGCGUCAUAGAGGGUGAGAAUCCCGUCCUUGACAUGGACCCCCGGUGCUUUGUGAUACACUUUCAACGAGUCGAGUUGUUUGGGAAUGCAGCUCAAAAUGGGUGGUGAAUUCCAUCUAAAGCUAAAUAUUGGCGAGAGACCGAUAGCGAACAAGUACCGUGAGGGAAAGAUGAAAAGCACUUUGGAAAGAGAGUUAAACAGUACGUGAAAUUGUUGAAAGGGAAACGAUUGAAGUCAGUCAUGCUCUUGGGACUUACCUCCCUUGAGUGGGGUCAACAUCAGUUUUGAUCGAUGGAUAAAGGCACGGGGAAGGUAGCACUCUCGGGUGAACUUAUAGCCUCGCGUCAUAUACAUUGAUUGGGACUGAGGAACGCAGCAUGCCUUAUGGCCGGGAUUCGUCCACGUACAUGCUUAGGAUGUUGACAUAAUGGCUUUAAACGAC